RNAcentral lists this unclassified non-coding RNA (339 nucleotides) under soil metagenome. RNAcentral's name for it is "partial contains 5.8S ribosomal RNA, internal transcribed spacer 2, and large subunit ribosomal RNA". The stretch from base 1 to 120 matches the Rfam family "5.8S ribosomal RNA", at positions 35 to 154 of the family's 154-position model. The record is from RNAcentral.
GAUGAAGAACGUAGCGAAAUGCGAUACGUAGUGUGAAUUGCAGAAUUCAGUGAAUCAUCGAAUCUUUGAACGCACAUUGCACCUCUCGGUAUUCCGGGAGGUAUGCCUGUUCGAGCGUCAUUUGUACCCUCAAGCUCUGCUUGGUGUUGGGUGUUUGUUCCGCCUCUGUGUGUGAACUCGCCUCAAAACAAUUGGCAGCCGGCGUACUUGUUUCGGAGCGCAGGACAUUUUGCGAUCCAGAUCAACGUACAGCGGCAUCCAAGAAGCCUUAUUUAACGCUCUUGACCUCGGAUCAGGUAGGGAUACCCGCUGAACUUAAGCAUAUCAAUAAGCGGAGGA